This is a long non-coding RNA of Hyaena hyaena (striped hyena), 768 nucleotides long. RefSeq lists it as uncharacterized. The transcript has 3 exons. The record is from RefSeq and is a predicted model, not a curated record. NCBI's taxonomy places the organism in Eukaryota, Metazoa, Chordata, Mammalia, Carnivora, Hyaenidae.
UUGUCAAAUCGCUACGUUGUACAUAUGAAACUAAUGUGACGCUGCAUGUUGAUGACACUUCAAUAAAACAAAAAAGGGACCCAGAUUAUCUCUUGAAAUAACAUACCUCCUCCAGAGUUGUCUUGGAGCUGCUCUUUGGCUGAUUUACAAUAGAGAAACGCUUUUCAGCCACAAGUGUUAAGUAGGAAAGGCAGUGUGGCUUAACGUAUAAUGUAUUGGGGCUGUAGGGACUCACUAAUUUUCAGCCUGCCUUCUCCUAUUUUGUAGCAAUGAUGCUAUUCCAGGAACCCGGGUCCUAUGAGGGCAGAAACCAAAGGGACAAUAUUUUAGAGAAGGAAAGUUUCACCGUUACAGGUUGUCAUAGGUGCUCUGCCAAAGGAUCUGAAGCAAAAUGGUCUUAUAAAAAGGGCCUGGACUUGGAAACCACACCUCAGAGGUAGAUUCUAAUCCUAGCCCUGACUGGAUGAACUUCAACAAGUUAUUUCAUCUCUCAAGGUUCAGCUUCCUCAUCUGCAAAAUGGGGAUAACUUAUCUUACUGGAUUUCUAUGAGUACUUAGUAAGAUAAAGGACUUAAAAGGCCCUUUAAGUCACCAGCCAAAGGGACAGAGCUUCUUCCCACCUGUGAAUCUAUAAGGGGAAAGGCUGCCUGAAUGCUCACUGUUGGAUUCCUAGUGCCUGGUACCUGAUACGGAGGAUGCUCAAUGCUUAUUUGUGGAAGGAAGGAAGAAAGAAGGAAAGGAAAGCAGGCAUGGAGGAAGAAAGAAAAG